Portunus trituberculatus (swimming crab) is the source of this 571-nucleotide long non-coding RNA. RefSeq lists it as uncharacterized. The transcript is spliced from 3 exons. The record is from RefSeq and is a predicted model, not a curated record. Lineage: Eukaryota; Metazoa; Arthropoda; Malacostraca; Decapoda; Portunidae.
CCUUGGGGUUCUUUGCCUAGCUGUUGGGCAACAUUUUCAGUGUACAGAUGUUUGUCGGGUUCUUGAAGAUGCGUUGACGUGUUAUCAUCCACGCAAGCUUCCCCAACCCAGCCAGUGUACCACAAGACAACAAGCAUUCAGGAGGACGGGAGGAGGGAGCGAGCGGCUGCACGCAUUAUUGAACGGGACGGCAUUACAUUCUCCCCACAGCUGUAUGACUACACUGAAGCAAGCCCAGAAUAAAGUGUUGAGUGACCAUGAUACGUUGAUGAGUGCGUGGAGUCACCCAGAUCCUCUCUCUGUGGACCAUCCCCUCAGCACUGUUCGAUCCGCCCAGCAGCAGCAACGGUCAGGAGAAGGCGGUCAUUGAAGUGUCAAGUCUCCAAGCUGGUAUGGUGGUGGGUGUUGUGCUGGGUUCCCUUGGGGUUCUUUGCCUAGUUGUUGCGGUAAGUCAAAUAGAUUUUCACUCCUUUAUGCUCUGGGUGCCAAUUGACACAAUGUUAAAUACCCUGCCUUCCUUACUCUAUUCCUCCUUAUACAUCUUGUAGUACACUUCAUGCUAACUCCUACG